RNAcentral lists this ribosomal RNA (492 nucleotides) under uncultured bacterium. Its description in RNAcentral is "partial 16S ribosomal RNA". It matches the Rfam family "Bacterial small subunit ribosomal RNA", at positions 29 to 507 of the family's 1533-position model. The record is from RNAcentral.
AGUGAACGCUGGCGGUAGGCCUAACACAUGCAAGUCGAACGGCAGCACAGUAAGAGCUUGCUCUUACGGGUGGCGAGUGGCGGACGGGUGAGGAAUACAUCGGAAUCUACUUUUUCGUGGGGGAUAACGUAGGGAAACUUACGCUAAUACCGCAUACGACCUACGGGUGAAAGCAGGGGAUCUUCGGACCUUGCGCGAUUGAAUUAGCCGAUGUCGGAUUAGCUAGUUGGCGGGGUAAAGGCCCACCAAGGCGACGAUCCGUAGCUGGUCUGAGAGGAUGAUCGGCCACACUGGAACUGAGACACGGUCCAGACUCCUACGGGAGGCAGCAGUGGGGAAUAUUGGACAAUGGGCGAAAGCCUGAUCCAGCCAUACCGCGUGGGUGAAGAAGGCCUUCGGGUUGUAAAGCCCUUUUGUUGGGAAAGAAAAGAAGCAGGUUAAUACCCCGAUGUUCUGACGGUACCCAAAGAAUAAGCACCGGCUAACUUCGUG